AGUAACGCGUAGGUAACCUGCCUGGUAGCGGGGGAUAACUAUUGGAAACGAUAGCUAAUACCGCAUAAUAGCUUUGAUUGCAUGAUUGAAGUUUGAAAGAUGCAACUGCAUCACUACCAGAUGGACCUGCGUUGUAUUAGCUAGUAGGUGAGGUAAAGGCUCACCUAGGCGACGAUACAUAGCCGACCUGAGAGGGUGAACGGCCACACUGGGACUGAGACACGGCCCAGACUCCUACGGGAGGCAGCAGUAGGGAAUCUUCGGCAAUGGGGGCAACCCUGACCGAGCAACGCCGCGUGAGUGAAGAAGGUUUUCGGAUCGUAAAGCUCUGUUGUAAGAGAAGAACGUGUGUGAGAGUGGAAAGUUCACACAGUGACGGUAACUUACCAGAAAGGGACGGCUAACUACGUGCCAGCAGCCGCGGUAAUACGUAGGUCCCGAGCGUUAUCCGGAUUUAUUGGGCGUAAAGCGAGCGCAGGCGGUUGGAUAAGUCUGAAGUUAAAGGCUGUGGCUCAACCAUAGUAUGCUUUGGAAACUGUUCAACUUAAGUGCAGAAGGGGAGAGUGGAAUUCCAUGUGUAGCGGUGGAAUGCGUAGAUAUAUGGAGGAACACCGGUGGCGAAAGCGGCUCUCUGGUCUGUAACUGACGCUG
RNAcentral lists this ribosomal RNA (651 nucleotides) under uncultured bacterium. Its description in RNAcentral is "bacterial SSU rRNA". It matches the Rfam family "Bacterial small subunit ribosomal RNA", at positions 109 to 748 of the family's 1533-position model. The record is from RNAcentral.